Molecule: ribosomal RNA, 478 nt
Filed under: uncultured bacterium
Lineage: Bacteria
Description: partial 16S ribosomal RNA
Rfam family: Bacterial small subunit ribosomal RNA
Source: RNAcentral
GAUGAACGCUGGCGGCGUGCUUAACACAUGCAAGUCGAACGAGAAAUGUAGACGGAAGCCUUCGGGCGGAAGCCUUCAUUUCGAGUGGCGGACGGGGGAGUAACGCGUGGGUAACCUGCCUCAUACAGGGGGAUAACAGUUGGAAACGACUGUUAAUACCGCAUAAGACCACAGCAUCGCAUGAUGCGGGGGUAAAAACUCCGGUGGUAUGAGAUGGACCCGCGUUCGAUUAGCCAGUUGGCGGGGUAACGGCCCACCAAAGCGACGAUCGAUAGCCGAUCUGAGAGGAUGACCGGCCACAUUGGGACUGAGACACGGCCCAAACUCCUACGGGAGGCAGCAGUGGGGAAUAUUGCACAAUGGGGGAAACCCUGAUGCAGCGACGCCGCGUGAGUGAAGAAGUACUUCGGUAUGUAAAGCUCUAUCAGCAGGGAAGAAAAUGACGGUACCUGAGUAAGAAGCCCCGGCUAACUACGUG